UUCUCUAUUUUGCUGGGUUGUAUCCGAAAUACCACUACAAUAAGCGAGGAGAAAAAAAAAAAUCAUUUUUUUUUAAAAUAAAAAUAGGGAGGGAAAAUAGCAAAGGGCGGCAAGAAGCAAUAACGAAACACGUUUCGCUUCGUCCUCACUCUUUCAAACCCUAAUUCUAUCAUUUCAUCUUCCCCUUUCUCUCUACCAAAUUCUCCCCAAAUUUUCAUUACCACCUUCUAUGGAAGCUAAUCUCUGGUAAUUAGAAAUCGAAGAUCUCACACUCAACCUCCCGGUAAAUACCACUAGUUGCAGGAUUUCGCAUCCUAAACAGAACAGUGUUGUACUUUUUUUCAUUCCUUGCGGUGUGCUUGUUUCACAUUUGAGAAAGAAUAGUUGAUGAUACAAAAGUAGGCUAGUUGUUGAUCUCCUGUCACUCUGGCGGCAAUCCCAUCUGGUGUUGGGACAGUUUGAUCUUCAAUAUUAGCUUUUGCUGGUAAGUUUCCUAGCAGCAUGUCCCGUUAUUCUUGUUUUCACUUUUUUGUCUUUGCAAAUUUACUUUCUAUAAAAUGGAAUCUGGCAAAAAGUGGGCGAGGUGCACGUUUUUGUUGAUCGAAUCCCCUAACGCAAACAAAUCCUGAAAUGAAGCAUCAAAAUGUUAAUAGGCAUGACAAGAUUGAACAUUGAUAUUUCUUAGAUGCAUAUGGGAACUACACUUAUUGUAACGAGGGAUGGGACUCAUGAUGUUUUUAGGGAACUAUUAGCCGACUAGUCUGAUAUUGAGUUAUUCCAGAAUGAUGUGCGGACACACAUUUGGAUCAAUCUUAAGGGUUAGUAGAUCCACCGGGUUUCAUGGGUACUGUUUCUCUCUUGUUAGGUUCUUGAAAUCACGUUGAAAAAUAAGAAAAUGAAAGGAUUUAUAGUUGCCCAAAUUACUAAUAUUACAUAAUAAUACUGUUAAAUAUGCUUGGAUCUGAACUCCAAAAGCUAGCUUAAAGGAUGAGAUUGCUCUCUCACACGCGCGCGCACACACACACACACACACACACACACACACACACACACACACACACACACACACACACACACAUAUAUAUAUAUAUAUAUAUAUAUAUAUAUAUAUAUAUAUAUAUAUAUAUAUAUAUAUACACACACACACAUUCAACAGUCUGGGAACCUAACCUCACGCCUAGGAGCGUUCUGAUACCAUCUUAGAAUUGUGGUUGAAUCUAACUUAUCCCUACAAAACUGACUUGUAAGGUGAUGAUUGCCCACACUUAUAAACAUAUGUUUAGGCCAUAUUGUCCGAUGUGGGACUCUUCAACAAAUACUAAUAUACAAGAAAUAACAAGCUCAUGAUUUCUCUAUCUAUAUCAUUUCUAAAAGGCCUGAUAUCAAGUAUCUUGUGUAAAUUAUACUGGCAUUAGAAAUAUUCAACAAUUGCUGUGAGCUGUGUUGGUUAUUUGUCCUUUUUCUUAACUAUAGGUAUUUGACAUGGUUAUUAUUUAUGAAAAUUUUGCUAAACCUGAAGUUACUUCAGGCCUUCUUUAUUUUUUCUGCUGAUGGAUUGGCCACUGAUGCAAAUUUGGUGGAUAAUUGGAAGAAAUAACCGGUGUAUUAAUUUAAUUUUGCAUACUUUUAUCCCUCUUUUGAGUUGUGAGAAGGUAUACUGACUGACCAUAUAUGCAUAUUCUCAAUUAUCGGAGUUUAAUUUGGUAAUCAAAUUUUGUAGAUCCUAUGUUUCCUUAUAGGAAACCAAUUAAAAUGGUUUAUUCUUUCAUAUGUUAUUAAAAUUUUGCAAAGUAAUAAGAGAAGAAAUAAAACAAAUAUUUUACGGCAGUCUGCAUACCUCUCCAAAAGCAAUGCUGAAUUUCUUGGGUUGAGAGACCUAGUAGACAUAAGAUUUUUUGUGAGUGCUCUGAACUUCUCAGACAAAACGGUUUAGAAUAGAUAUUAGUAGAUGAGCAUGUGGAUUUUUUCCCCUACCUUUGAAAAUUGACGAUACAGAGGUUCCAAAGUAUACCGUCCUCCUUGGCAAAUUCCAUAUCCAUGCCCUAGGGAUAUCUAUGGGCUUAAUGCUGGAUGCGUGGUCCGCAAAUAACUUCAUGAUAAAAAAAAGUUUUUAUAGAUCCUUGGGGGUGAAUAUUGAAAUUUAAAACAAGGGUAUAUCUGUUAAGGUUACCAAACAGUAACAAAACAUAAUUUAAACUUACCUCGUUAACUUGAAAGUAAGUUCCGUUGAGUGGAAAGCUUCCCCUUGUUGCCGUUCUACACGGUAUCUGUAUAUGGGAUAACAUUUGUUAAAGUUAUUACAAAAUUUUUAAGGCUAGAAAAUAGUCUCUUUCAUUGCCCUGUCCGAAUCCAGAAAUUAUUAAUCAUUACCAGAAUUGUUCCUCUCACAAUUUGUGAAUUAGCUUCUCUAAUGCUAUUGCAUGAAAAGCAUGUGUUGUCAUUGCACAGGCUGGUUGAGUCUUGCGAUCCACACUUACUUUGCGGCGGUUCAGUGGAAUUUGCAGUCUCACCUAGUAUUCAAAUUUCAUAAACAUCAGAGUGAACAUUUUAUCUUUGACCUAACAUAUACGUAGUAAUGAUCUUGCUUAUGCUUAAAAUUUUUCUUUUCAAUUUAGCUGUUUUAUGUGUACUUGUGCUUGUGCAUUGAUUUUAGAAUAGGAGUAGCUUUUGAUGACGACUAUUCUUUGCAUAUGGUAAUUAUUAUUAAUGAUUAAGUAUUACUUGAGUUUAUUACAAGUAUCAUCUGCUAACCUGGUGACCAUAUUGCAAGAAGAUACGGGCUUGGGUCAUCAGGUUCCCGCUUAUCCAUCUGUAAAUUUUUGUACACAAACAUAUAUAAAAAAAUAUCCCAAGCUGAUUACUGCAUGUUUCAGUACUGAGAAAAGAAUAACUAACCUUUUCCAACAGAGGAUGUGAAUCUGGAAGUUCAUAUCUGCAUCAAUCAGGGGAUGUUAGAUAGCGUCAUUUAGAUUUCCAUUAAGAAAACAGAUCAGUCAUACAGUCUAGAGAGUCAAGGAAUUUAUAAUGACUUUACGUAUGACAAUGACUAUAGCUGUGUCAUUUAAAAUAUAGAUUUUCUAGGCCUAGAAACCAGAGAGGUUCGACAACACCAUAUCGUUUUGGACUUACAUUUUGAGAAUGAAUAUUCAAAUGCUUUGCAUCUCCAAAUAUACUUAAUUUAAACAAUUUAGAAAAUCAUAUGUAUGAAGGUAAGAUAUAAUUAUAUUCAGGACCUGUAAGUCCGUGGGUGCUGAUUUAGUUUCAGCAUUUUGGUUGCUAUACUUAAAAUUAACUCAUAGUCCAAACAAAAGUGCGACUGAGUUAAAUUUUCUAGGACACUUAUAGGUUGCUCAACUUGAAAAAAGAAAAGAAAACUAUUUACACUUACACUUGGUGUUCUGUUCUUAGCCGGCUCACAUUCUUCAGUUUUGGUGUUGGGAUGGAAGCAGACUGUGGGUUCCAGGCAACAAGGGCCUUAGACUGGUCACCUUCAUGUUCUUGCAUGUGGUUCUGUAAACUCUUCGCAAACACUUCGAGAUUGACAUUGAUAGUAGGAAUUUCAUCAGGAUCCUCCCAAAAGAAGUCCUCAAUGUCACUUUCUAAUGCCUCCGUACUCUGUUCUGGUGUUGCUGGUUCUUCAAUGAUUGGCUCGCACGGCCUACUUUGAGGACACACUUCAAUGCUCGUGUUGUUCCCAGGGAGAGGUAGGAUCACUGGGUUUAAAUUUGGAGGGCUUCUCUCAUCUGCAAUGGGAACAGGCAUGCUCACAAUUUGCUUCUCUUCUGGUCCUGGCAAGGCAAGCCGUGCACUGUACUGAAAGAGUUAGUCGUCUUAUAAAAAUAUGACAAGUCUGUCAUGCUCUUCAUACUAGAAUACUGUCGCUGAAAGUAACAACUCAUUAAAUUGACAUGUCUAUUUUUACGCGUUAGUCUUUGUCCUUUUAAACUGGCUAUGACUUUAAAGUUUCAGAUGCAAUUUUAAAGACUUUUGUGACCUGAUUGUUUUGUGUGAAGAAAAUGAAAUUGGUUGAUAUGUAGCUUCAAAUGCAUUUUGCAUUAAGUUGAUUACAAUAUGUAAUGCAACUGACAUACUGAGUAACUAACCUUGCAAAAGCACUGGCAAAAUGUCUGCACUCUGCUCGCAUUGGGCAUGCAUUGCAAUUUGGUUUUUUCUUUGUGCAGAAAACCUACAUAUUUGGAACAUGAAUUACUUUUAACCUCUUCUCUCAAGGUUGUGGAGCAAAGCUAGUUCCAAAACUAUGUUUUUUGUGAAUACCAUAUUAAAAUGUAGAAGGAAGUUACGCAUACCUUCCCAAAUGUAAUCAUCUGAUUUUAGGGAAGUUAUGAUAUUACAAGGUUCUUUGAUCAAGUUUGCACAAUCUUGGCCAAAGAUACUUUUGAAUAGACUCUAGCACUGGAUACCUGCACGAAACGUUUUUCAGGAAGUGGUUGGAGAGGAACCCAUCCAAGUCUAACGGCUAUCCUUCCAACAUUGGUGUCAACCUUCGAGGCACGAGCAUAGCAAUGUUAUUGCAAGGGUUUUUAAUGAUUUGCAUACUAGUAAGCAGGAAAUGGAUUUCAAAUUAGCCUUACUGGGAAAGCAAGAUGAUGAAGUGUCAGAAGCCGUACACAUUCCACACUUUUUAACCCCAAUCCUCUCAUGCUUAGCAGAUAGUCCCUGCAUUUGAAAUUGUAUAUGGAAGCCAGUAGAAAGGACAUGGUUAAUUUGCAUUAUAUUCUGUUAUUUGCUGGCAGUGUCUGCUAAAUAGAAACUUUCUUAGAAGGACAUUGGUUAAUGGUGAUAAAAGAUUAUGGCUUACUUUACUUUAUCAGGGGGAGCAUGUCUUAACCAUUCAAGGUCAAUGCUUCCAUGUUCUCUAACCAGUCUAUUCAGGAAUUCCUGACAUAACAUAGAAGUUCUAUAGCUCAGUAUUAUUUUAUUUUAGUUAAAAAUCAGUGUUAUACAAACUUGAAUGGUUGAAUAUACCUUGAUUCGUUCAGCUAGCAUGUUGUUCAUCCCCCGCUCUUUGAUAGCAUCAGAUAUCUCUUUAACAGAGGCACAUCUUAUUGCUUCAUAGUCCAGUGAAUCCAUAGCAUCUGCGUUUCUUUCUAUCUUUGUCCCAUUUUCUUCUACCUCCUUCCUUAGUUUGUCCCAGUCAUCUUCAUGCUUUUUGUUGGCCUCAGGCUUCGUUUUUCUUUCUUUUCGAACCUUGAGUUUUCCCUCUUUGUCUUUUUGGCCUGGAGAAACUUGCUUCUUUGCCUUCUUUUCAGCCUGAGUAUUAUCAUAGCAUACCUGUCUGGUUUCCGUGGAUAUAAUUUUUUCACUGUCAAAAACUUCUUCUGCACAUGUUAAUAUAUUGCUGUGAUCGUUCCCUGCAUGAUCUUCGCCACAUAUGUGAGAAUUAUUUGAUGAUUCUGCAUAUGUCUUGCCCUCUGAUUGGAAGGUUUUCUGACUCACAAGGUGAUGGUUAGGUGAAGGUUGAUUAUAGUUUGUAUGAGAUCUAGAUUGAGAAGUAUCUCCUAUAAAAGCUGAGUGCUUGCUUAAUGGUCUGUAAGAUUUCAUAGUUGGUAACUCUGGAGACCCCAAUGUUCCAUUUCCAUCCUGCAUUUCAGUGGGUUUAUCCACACUCUCUCCAGUUCCGUUGAUGCCAAAUCUCAUAUAACUGUUGUCUUGAAAUUCAUUGUGUAUAGAAAGAGUGUCAGGCCAAGAAAACUCCUCACCAUUAAUUUGAAAAGUAUCCAGACCUUGUAUGUACGAGUAAUAUGACUCAUAGUUUGUUGAAGGGGCUCCUGGCGGCUGUUGCUUUUUUGGAUUUCCAAAGCUGCAGGGAGGGCCAGAUGCUGAAUGGAAACUGGGAAUAUCAUUUCUGCCUACUCUUGAACUUUGUUUCACAUCAUGUUGCUGUAGCUUUCCAUGGGUUCUCUCUUCAAUUAGUGAUACCCCGUUUACAAUAUGGUAAAAUUCCUGAAAGAUAGUGGUUAUUCCUACCUCUUGAGAAUUUGUUGAAGUUAAGAACUGAGCCUUGCUGUGUUCACACCCACUGUUACGUAAUUCUGAUUCUGAAUUGGAUCUAAUUCUGGUAUCUUGAGUAACUGAGGAAUCAAGAGAAUCUUGUGAUGAUAAGAAUUCUUCCUCUGAGCUAUGAUUAUUUGGCUUUAUUAGGCUCUCAUUUAUCCUUGAAGUUUUACUGUCUUUCAAAAGAUCUUCUGUAUGACGCGGCAUCUCAAAGUCAAUAUAGUAGGUUGGUGGAUUUAAUUUUCCUCUUUCAUAUGAUCCUAUUAUGCCAGCUUGAUUUUCUAUGCAAUGUUGUGGCUCUUCAACCAAUGUGUGUGUGACAACAUCACUACUUUUUGACUUGAGAGGAAACCUUGCUGCUAGAGACAUAAAGGCAGAGCUGCAAAGAGAGGAAUGAAACAUAAUGUUUUAGUGGGAUUUGCACAACAUCUUGUACUAGCAUUGGCAGUUUUGGCAAAACAACCUGAGUGGUGAAAAGUAGAAAACACCUAAUGCUAAUAUAUGAGCUUACCUUGAAAGAUGGUCUGAGACAUUCUGAGUGAGAAAAACACCAAUCACAGAAUCAACAACAGAUCCUUUCCACUUUGAAAAACGUCUAUCUCCUGCAUAGUAGAGGUAUAUUUAAUUUACAAAUAUAUCCCGACAAGUGAACAAUUUAGCAAUCAAGUGAAUAAUUUCAAUAAAUCUUAGGCUUCUUUUUUGUCAAGGGAUGCUAAUUAAAUAUAAAGGAUUUUAUUGUCAAUUCUUAGUUGUGUGCCUUUGCCUAUUUUCCCGCCUUUCUGUGGAAGUUAGGAAGGAAAUAAAUGGUAGGGUUUUAGGGAAGGGGAGAGAAAGGGAGGAUAACCCCUUGCCUUGUUUGAGAAUGUUUUUGGAGGGGAGAAGAGAUAAUAGCUUAUCACUAUUUUUGUUUUGUUUUGACAGUAUUAUAUAAAGUAGAAAAGGAUUUGGGAAAUUUUUCAAAGCUUUCCAAAAGCUUCCAAAUUCCUACCUCCAUUCAUAUUUCGAGUUUCCUAAUUUUAGUCAUAUAGGUAAAAGUAAACCCCCAUGAAUGGCGAGAGACUAUCCCCCCUUUUCUAUCCCCUCCUAAUUCUGAAACAAACAGUUAGAAUUUGCGUUGUUAUAAUAUUAGGGUUAUUACUUAUUAGUCUUAUUGUAUUUAGUUGGCUUGUGCUUCUGCUAGUAGUUCCUAAUACUUGACUUAUUAGUUGAAAAAUUUAGGUAUUGUAUCACAUUUAUUCUAUUAUAUAUUCAGUAUACUAUCCUACAAAAGUCUAUAAUUCCAACUCAUUGAAGUAUAUAUAUGAAUGAUGUCGUAAUGACAAGUUCAGCGUCAAACAUCAUAAAUUGAAGAGAACCAGAGGCAUAUUAUCAUCAAGUUUUGGGCCUUUAAUUUGAUGUUUUGUACCUUGAACAAGAUGCAUCCGUGCAAUGAAGGAAUCAGCUCGUCCACGAAAUACAUUUCUUUCCUCUUCCCACCACUUCUCCUUUUUCUUGUCAGCUCCUUCAAGGUCUUCACUUCCUUCGAUACCCAUCAACAGUUUCCAGGUUCUCUCUGUUUCUGGAUCAAGGUCCACUUUAGGCCUUGGUUUACGUUUCUUUUCAAAUUCAAAUUCCUGGUAGGGUACAAUAGAACCAUCUCCCUUAUAUGGGACAAGUGCCUUUUGUUCUCCCAUCUCUGACGUGUUGCUCCCAUUGACGUGGAGACUAUUCAGUUGGCAAAUUAUGCUGUCCAUCAGGGUGGGAUAUAUCUGGUGUCGCUCUCCUGAAAAUGAAGAAACAGAUAAUUAUCAUUAUUUUGUUUACUGAAAAGUCCUUUCCUUUAUCAAACAUACCUUACCUGAGAUAGCAAAGGAAUCACCAGUGCGAAUUCCCCUGGUUUGCUUCUCUACAAAUCUACUGCUUUCAAUACAGCAGUUUGUCGUUUCCUCGUUAUGUGAUUGAAACCCAUUUUUUUCUGCUUUUCUUACUUUCCGUGAAUCAUCUUUAGGCUUUAUUUGGCUGGAAGAUCCUCCGCGGACUUUUGAGUGGAGUUUAUUUUGAGUUCUUUUCCUUUUAUUUUUCUUUAAGAAACCUUUGGCAAGAGUUGUACUUGUGAAGUUUCCAUCCACUUGUAAAAUCUCUUGGCACAAGGAAGCACCAGGUGGAUUUCUGGAUGAGUGAAGUUGGUUCUUAGUGCUGUUAGAAUAUUUUCUCUUGGAACCCUUUGCUUCAAUGGGGUUGGAAUGAUUGUUAAGCAACUGAAACAUAUUUUCAAAAAUCAGUUCCCCUGUCUCCUGAGUGUUUUCAAAACAUGUUUCUGAUUGAAAGAGAGUGUUGCCAAUUUCAUUUGCACUAAUGUAUUGUUGCAUGCAUCCGCUAUUUCUUUCCUGCCAUAGACUAGAUUUUCCUUGUGUUGGACCUUUCUCAAUGACCGAAAAUUUUGCUAUCUGCUUUUCUGUAGUUUCUGACAAAGUUAUGGUUGAUUCCCUCUCCGAGAGGAAAGGAUUUGAUUCCUUUCCUUUCAAUAGAAGUGGAAUAUCAUCUGUGUUACUGGGUUGUCGGUGUCCUACGGCAAGGUCAUCCUGCUGACUGAUCAUCAAAGAUCUCUUGCUGAAAAACCAUGCUGCUCUGGCUUUCAUGUGUACUAUUUUCUAAGUCAAAAUUUAGAGCUCUCCUGCUGGAUUUUGUAGUUGCUGCCGUUGAAUCACACGUGUCUUUUAUAACACCUGCCU
Long non-coding RNA from Vicia villosa (hairy vetch), 8726 nucleotides. RefSeq lists it as uncharacterized. The transcript is spliced from 5 exons. NCBI's taxonomy places the organism in Eukaryota, Viridiplantae, Streptophyta, Magnoliopsida, Fabales, Fabaceae. The record is from RefSeq and is a predicted model, not a curated record.